This 487-nucleotide ribosomal RNA is filed under the name uncultured bacterium. RNAcentral describes it as "partial 16S ribosomal RNA". It matches the Rfam family "Bacterial small subunit ribosomal RNA", at positions 899 to 1397 of the family's 1533-position model. The record is from RNAcentral.
ACUCAAAGGAAUAGACGGGGGCCCGCACAAGCAGCGGAGCGUGUGGUUUAAUUCGAUGAUACGCGAAGAACCUCACCCAGGUUUGACAUGCACGUGGUACGGAUCCGAAAGGUGAAGGACCCUUCGGGGAGCGUGCACAGGUGUUGCAUGGCCGUCGUCAGCUCGUGCCGUGAGGUGUUGGGUUAAGUCCCGCAACGAGCGCAACCCCUGUCGCCAGUUGUAUUUUUCUGGCGAGACUGCCGAGAAAACCUCGGAGGAAGGAGGGGACGAUGUCAGGUCAGCAUGGCCCUUAUGCCUGGGGCUACACACACGCUACAAUGGGUGGUACAACGGGUUGCCAAGCCGCGAGGUGGAGCUAAUCCCAUCAAAGCCAUCCUCAGUUCGGAUUGCAGGCUGAAACUCGCCUGCAUGAAGCCGGAGUUGCUAGUAACCGUAGGUCAGCACUACUGCGGUGAAUACGUUCCCGGGCCUUGCACACACCGCCCGU